Molecule: unclassified non-coding RNA, 263 nt
Filed under: plant metagenome
Description: partial contains small subunit ribosomal RNA, internal transcribed spacer 1, and 5.8S ribosomal RNA
Source: RNAcentral
UUUCCGUAGGUGAACUUGCGGAAGGAUCAUUAUUGUAUAACCGAGGUGCGAGGGCUGUCGCUGACCCGAAAGGUCGUGCACGCCCGAGUGCCCUCACACACAUCCAUUUCACCCCUAUGUGCACCACCGCGUGGGUCCCCCUUUGGCUUGUUCGGAGGGGGGCUUACGUUUUCACACAAACUUUGUAUGCAGUGUAGAAUGUAUUUUUUGUUUUUGCGAUCACGCAAUCAAUACAACUUUCAACAACGGAUCUCUUGGCUCUC